GUUGGAUGGAGCUAUUCACAAUCUCAAGGAGUCAGGCUGGGCUGCCAGACAAAAGGGGGAGGCUGACUCUUCAAUAGUCGGCAUCCAGUGGAUUCUAGAUACAGAGAAGUUCCUGGAAAGCCCUUCAGAGGAACUGAUGUGUCCUUCAGCCUUGUUGAUUCCAGUUCAUUCAGAGGUGUGAACGGGAAUGCACACACACGGGAUCCCAGCACAUGGGGAAACACCACGUGCCACGUUCUUACCGGGAAAUCAAGGUAAGGCUGGGUGUCAAGUCCAGUGACAGCGACAGUGACUUCUGGCGGUGGAACGGGGCUUUCUCCCAACAGCCACGCCCCCACUGCGGAGGGAAACGUUUAUAAAUGCCUGUAUCUUCGUUUCCUCGGUUCCCAAAUUCUCUUUUAUACUUUGGUAAAGGCAGGUACAGAUGGUUUUAUGUACAGUGUUCAGUGUCAGUGAUGGCAAAUGCAUAUACCUGGUUACUACGGAUGCAGACCAUUUCACAAAUAGACAUGGCAAGGGUAGUUCAAAUGUCUGUUUAUUUAUUCGCAAACUUAGUAACAUGAAAAGAUUCUCAGUUGAAACCUGGCUUGAUAGAAAUACACUGCACAAUGUUAAUACCGCAUUCACGGAGGGCAGAGAUGCUGGGUCACCCUGUGUGCCUAUUGUCACCAGGGCUCGGGAGAAAGAACCAUUUACUAAAGUGCUUCAAACAUCCUCUGAACCACAGGCUGAUGCUACACAGGGACAGAAAAUGCUGAGUUGAACUGCACAUUUACAAAUGCAAAGCAUGAGUGGUAGCACUUUACAAUAAUUACACUGGCAUUUUCACACAUCCCAAGAGUCAACCAGAGAGUAAAGUGAUAACCGUGCUGCUAGAAGACCCUUCACUGAAACAAGGUGCAGAGCUUUCUACCCGACACUCCCUAGUUCUGAGGAAGGAGAAGCUAUGUGGGUUGGAUGGGUCCCCUCAGACAAAAUGAAGGUACUUUUGUUUUCAUGCUUCCCAUCUCCAGCCACCAUGUGGCAUUCUGGAAUGUAAGGCACUAGAACCUGGCUUGGGGGAAAGAGGUGCUCUGAGCUCCAGUUCUUGGUGUGUGAAGCAAAUCCUGGCACAGAUCUUUUGAAACAGGUGCUAAAUGUAUCCUCCCCAUGUCUUGCAAUUCUUGUCCUUAAAGAGUGAAAAAUGAGAAGGCAGAAGGUUUGCAAAGCAUAAAAUUGAUGCACCUAAUGUUGUGAAAGUCAUGGCCCAUGAAGAAAUACGUAAUUCUCUAAGGGUUGCAGAUACUAUGCUCAGAGAAGUCAAGAACCAUACAAGAAAUAACUCUGGUCUUUAACAGGAAAGGAGAAGCCAAGACAACAAAAACAAUCCUCUUGAAAAACAUUGCAUCGGUGCUUAUGAGAGCCUACAAAGAACAAGACUCAAUAUUGACAAUGAAGGGAGCCCCAGGGCUUAGCAUUUAAAGCAGAGGCUUAAAAAGGGCAUGGGUGAGGGGAGCUUGGAGAAAUCUAUACAGCUUGUUCACUGCUUACUGCAUGAAACCAGAAUGUAGUUAAACAGGUUAAACAGCACUUUAUAUAUUCCAGCCACCAUUUCCUAUAGACAACUUGGUUUCUGCCAAAUUCACAUGCCGGGCAAUGGCAUCAGCAGGAUGGCUCAUCACGAAAAUUUGUGGUUUUUCUCCCCCAAUUGCCACAGUUAGGUAUCAGGAAAGGCUCACCCGAGAAUAUGCCUCAGCUGUGUUAGCCUGUGCCCUCUUCUUUUUUAGGCAGCUGGUGACCCUAAGCUUUAAGCCCAGAGCUAAAAUAUUAAAGUAUGUAUCUAGCAUGGAGGCCCAGAAUGCCCUGAACUUCCAUGCAUCAGAGUAGC
Molecule: long non-coding RNA, 1867 nt
Organism: Camelus dromedarius (Arabian camel)
Lineage: Eukaryota; Metazoa; Chordata; Mammalia; Artiodactyla; Camelidae
Exons: 3
Source: RefSeq, a predicted model, not a curated record